Molecule: ribosomal RNA, 440 nt
Filed under: uncultured bacterium
Lineage: Bacteria
Description: partial 16S ribosomal RNA
Rfam family: Bacterial small subunit ribosomal RNA
Source: RNAcentral
CCUACGGGCGGCAGCAGUGGGGGAUAUUGCACAAUGGAGGAAACUCUGAUGCAGCGACGCCGCGUGAGGGAAGACGGUCUUCGGAUUGUAAACCUCUGUCUUUGGGGAAGAAAAUGACGGUAACCAAAGAGGAAGCUCCGGCUAACUACGUGCCAGCAGCCGCGGUAAUACGUAGGGAGCGAGCGUUGUCCGGAAUUACUGGGUGUAAAGGGUGCGUAGGCGGCUUGGCAAGUCAGUAGUGAAAUCCAUGGGCUUAACCCAUGAACUGCUAUUGAAACUGUCGAGCUUGAGUGAAGUAGAGGUAGGCGGAAUUCCCGGGGUAGCGGUGAAAUGCGUAGAGAUCGGGAGGAACACCAGUGGCGAAGGCGGCCUACUGGGCUUUAACUGACGCUGAGGCACGAAAGCGUGGGUAGCAAACAGGAUUAGAUACCCUUGUAGUC